This 568-nucleotide small RNA is filed under the name Rattus norvegicus (Norway rat). RNAcentral describes it as "uncharacterized LOC102547648". Lineage: Eukaryota; Metazoa; Chordata; Mammalia; Rodentia; Muridae. The record is from RNAcentral.
GAUUCCUCUUGCCUAUGAGUGAUGUCUCCGUCAUCCCUAGAUUUGGAGAUUGGUUGAUGUAGAAACAGCAUACUUCUUGGAGGAACAGGCAAAGACCACCUUCUUUAGCUGUCAGGACAUCCAGCCCCAUCCGUUCUGAAGUACCACAGCUGCCAAAGAAACGUUGUUUCUAGAUGAUCCAGCAGACCGGAUGGUACCUGAGGUGUCACUGGCAGAUAAAGAUGCUGUUUGGAGCUUCUGGCAGGCCCCUGUAGAUGAAUCACAGAAGAGACCUUUGAGAUUUUUGGAGCAAAGCUCUACCAUCUGCAGACCACUAUUCUCCCUUUGAAAAACAGCUUUUGGCCUGCUAUUGUGCCUUAGUGGAAACUGAACUUUUGACAAUAGGACACCAAUUUACCAUGCAACCUGAACUGCCUACCAUGAACUGGGUGUCCUAAAGUAGGAUGUACAAAGCAGCAUUCUCUUAUCAAAUGGAAGUGGUAUAUAUGUGAUUGGGCCCAAGUAGGUCCUGAAGGCACAAGAAAGCUAUAUGAAGAAGUUGUUCAAAUACCUGGGAUUUUUUUUCUCC